GAUUAGUUCCUCUAAUAUUAAGAGCGCCUGAUAUAGCAUUCCCCCGAAUAAAUAAUAUAAGAUUUUGAUUAUUACCCCCAUCAUUAUCUUUACUAGUAAUAAGAAGUUUAAUUGAAAGCGGAGCAGGAACUGGUUGAACAGUUUAUCCCCCCUUAUCCGCUAAUAUUGCACAUAGAGGAUCUUCUAUUGAUUUAGUAAUUUUCAGACUUCAUUUAGCUGGAAUUUCAUCAAUUUUAGGAGCUGUAAAUUUUAUUUCAACUAUUAUUAAUAUGCGACCAUUAAAUAUAAUAUUUGAUCAAAUACCCCUUUUUGUUUGAGCAGUAUUAAUUACAACUAUUCUACUUCUAUUAGCUUUACCAGUAUUAGCAGGGGCAAUUACUAUAUUACUAACAGAUCGUAAUAUAAAUUCAAGAUUUUUUGACCCAAUAGGAGGGGGAGACCCA
Molecule: ribosomal RNA, 443 nt
Filed under: Luciuranus carioca
Lineage: Eukaryota; Metazoa; Arthropoda; Insecta; Coleoptera; Lampyridae
Description: partial large subunit ribosomal RNA
Source: RNAcentral